RNAcentral lists this ribosomal RNA (253 nucleotides) under uncultured bacterium. RNAcentral's name for it is "partial 16S ribosomal RNA". It matches the Rfam family "Bacterial small subunit ribosomal RNA", at positions 524 to 776 of the family's 1533-position model. The record is from RNAcentral.
UACGUAGGGGGCUAGCGUUGUCCGGAAUCAUUGGGCGUAAAGAGCGCGUAGGCGGCCAGAUAAGUCCGGUGUGAAAGUCAAAGGCUCAACCUUUGAAUGCCGCUGGAAACUGUCUGGCUAGAGUCCGGGAGGGGCGAGUGGAAUUCCUAGUGUAGAGGUGGAAUGCGCAGAUAUCAGGAAGAACACCAACGGCGAAGGCAGCUCGCUAGGACGGUACUGACGCUGAGACGCGAAAGCGUGGGGAGCGAACAGG